This 406-nucleotide ribosomal RNA is filed under the name Neocalanus gracilis. RNAcentral's name for it is "eukaryotic LSU rRNA". It matches the Rfam family "Eukaryotic large subunit ribosomal RNA", at positions 331 to 666 of the family's 3401-position model. The record is from RNAcentral. Lineage: Eukaryota; Metazoa; Arthropoda; Copepoda; Calanoida; Calanidae.
AGACCGAUAGCAAACAAGUACCGUGAGGGAAGAUUGAAAAGAACUUUGAAGAGAGAGUUCAACAGUACGUGAAACUGUGUGGUGGUAAACAGAGGGGUUCUCGAAGUUUCUACGGGGAACUCAGCCUUGGUGACGUGUGGACCUGUUGUAUCCGAUCAGAAAUGACUGUGCAGCUUUUCCGGCAUGUCUCUCGGGUGCAUUUCCCCCGUAGUUUACAGCAGGAACUGUUUGGAGCGCACCGAAGGCCCUGGGUGAAGUUGUUGGUUCUGCCGGCAGCCCCGGGUGUCCUGGCUGUGCACCAGACAGGUACGUGAGAGGACUCGUAUAGCGAGCAAUGCUCUGUUGCGGUUCUCAUCUCUCUGCUGAGUAGGUCGGUGGCCCCUCUGACCCGUCUUGAAACACGGAC